UACGAAGGGGGCUAGCGUUGUUCGGAAUUACUGGGCGUAAAGCGCGCGCAGGCGGCUAUCCAAGUCAGUGGUGAAAGCCCGGAGCUCAACUCCGGAACUGCCAUUGAAACUGUUUAGCUUGAGGAUGAGAGAGGUGAGUGGAAUUCCCAGUGUAGAGGUGAAAUUCGUAGAUAUUGGGAAGAACACCGGUGGCGAAGGCGGCUCACUGGCUCAUUACUGACGCUCAGGCGCGACAGCGUGGGGAUCAAACAGG
RNAcentral lists this ribosomal RNA (253 nucleotides) under uncultured bacterium. RNAcentral's name for it is "partial 16S ribosomal RNA". It matches the Rfam family "Bacterial small subunit ribosomal RNA", at positions 524 to 776 of the family's 1533-position model. The record is from RNAcentral.